Long non-coding RNA from Hyaena hyaena (striped hyena), 413 nucleotides. RefSeq lists it as uncharacterized. The record is from RefSeq and is a predicted model, not a curated record. The transcript has 3 exons. Lineage: Eukaryota; Metazoa; Chordata; Mammalia; Carnivora; Hyaenidae.
GUCACAGGAAGAAGGGAGAGCCCAGUACAGUAAGAUGUUUUGAGAGAUCUCCAAGACUGCACGGCAUGGAGAAACUACAUUCAAGAAGGAGCCAGAGUCCCUGAAUCACCACAUGGAAGAGAGUCAGUCGUGUCUGGCUGAGUUUGGGACUUCCCAGGCCCCAGAACGGGCCUACUGCAAGGGAAGAGCUCGACAAUACGUUUGCAUCAUCAUGGAAUCUCUCAGACAUUCUGCUCUGGCUACAAACGAAUGAGACGUGCCUGACUGGCGAUGGGUACGUCCUACUGUCUAGGGACAGUACCAAUAAGUUGAAUACGUGACCUGCUUCAUUUGCCUUUCAUGUUAGUUAGUGACUUUCCUGGGCCACAUCCGGCCCUCAAAGAUAUUUCAUAGUAAAGCCAUAUGAGAACGCU